CGGACUCCGAAGGGCGGCCACACCCCUCCUGAUUUCACUCAAGGGAUCGGUGAGACCAGUACCACGGAAGAAGAGGCCUGCCUGCGGUGCUAGUACCGUUCCUGUCCCUAACUUCUGCAUGAAGAAAGCGAAACACAGGGCAGUUCACUGGCCUGUCCACACAGUGACAGCGCCCUCAGGAUGUGUCCCAGCCAGCGGCUUAGCAGAAUAGAACAAGGCGGGAAUUCCAAGCAGAC
This is a non-coding RNA of Myodes glareolus (Bank vole), 236 nucleotides long. The record is from RefSeq and is a predicted model, not a curated record. Lineage: Eukaryota; Metazoa; Chordata; Mammalia; Rodentia; Cricetidae.